GCUCGUGUGGUGUAGUUCGGCCCAUCAUGGCGGGUUUUCAUCCCGUUUACCCGGGUUCAAAUCCCGGCACGAGCA
This 75-nucleotide transfer RNA is filed under the name Methanobacteriota archaeon. RNAcentral's name for it is "Euryarchaeota archaeon tRNA-Glu". It matches the Rfam family "tRNA". Rfam says of the family: Transfer RNA (tRNA) molecules are approximately 80 nucleotides in length. Their secondary structure includes four short double-helical elements and three loops (D, anti-codon, and T loops). Lineage: Archaea; Methanobacteriati; Methanobacteriota. The record is from RNAcentral. RNAcentral also lists the same sequence under 1 other name.